Molecule: ribosomal RNA, 254 nt
Filed under: uncultured bacterium
Lineage: Bacteria
Description: partial 16S ribosomal RNA
Rfam family: Bacterial small subunit ribosomal RNA
Source: RNAcentral
UACGGGGGGAGCAAGCGUUGUUCGGAUUUACUGGGCGUAAAGGGCGCGUAGGCGGCGUGACAAGUCACUUGUGAAAUCUCCGGGCUUAACCCGGAGCGGCCAAGUGAUACUGUCGUGCUAGAGUGCGGAAGGGGCUACUGGAAUUCUCGGUGUAGCGGUGAAAAUGCGUAGAUAUCGAGAGGAACACCUGCGGCGAAGGCGGCUUCCUGGACCAAUACUGACGAUCAGGUGCGAAAGCGUGGGGAGCAAACAGG